Molecule: transfer RNA, 75 nt
Filed under: Cordylochernes scorpioides
Lineage: Eukaryota; Metazoa; Arthropoda; Arachnida; Pseudoscorpiones; Chernetidae
Description: tRNA-Thr
Source: RNAcentral
UGUCAAGGGAUGGGAAUCGGACCCACGACCUUCCGCUUACCGGGCAGAUGCCAUGACCACUAGGCUACCCUGGAC